CCUACGGGCGGCAGCAGUGAGGAAUAUUGGUCAAUGGCCGGGAGGCUGAACCAGCCAAGUCGCGUGAGGGAAGACGGCCCUACGGGUUGUAAACCUCUUUUGUCAGGGAGCAAGCUGCUGGUCGGGACCUGCUGUGAGAGUACCUGAAGAUAAAGCAUCGGCUAACUCCGUGCCAGCAGCCGCGUUAAUACGGAGGAUGCGAGCUUUUUCCGGAUUUAUUGGGUUUAAAGGUUGCGCAGUCGGAGGCACAAUUCAGCGGUAAAAUCGCGGGGCUAAACCCCGCAGCGCCGUUGAAACUGUGUGCCUUGAGUGCGCGAAGGGUGGGCGGAAUGCGUGGUGUAGCGGUGAAAUGCAUAGAUAUCACGCAGAACUCCGAUCGCGAAGGCAGCCUACGGGCGCGCAACUGACGCUCAUGCACGAAAGCGUGGGUAUCGAACAGGAUUAGAUACCCCAGUAGUC
Molecule: ribosomal RNA, 459 nt
Filed under: uncultured bacterium
Lineage: Bacteria
Description: partial 16S ribosomal RNA
Rfam family: Bacterial small subunit ribosomal RNA
Source: RNAcentral